Molecule: long non-coding RNA, 7073 nt
Filed under: Setaria italica (foxtail millet)
Lineage: Eukaryota; Viridiplantae; Streptophyta; Magnoliopsida; Poales; Poaceae
Description: long non-coding RNA (SITA_LNC007347)
Source: RNAcentral
GACCACCACAGUGGGAUACGAAGGCACUUUCACUCACAGCCAAUUGCAGUCACGCGUUCCAAGGCUCAAGUCCGGGUGUUUCACUUGCCUAAUCAUUGGUCCAUAGAAUCGUGUUGCCCUUGCACCUGCUAACCGCCACACUGCCUGCAGAGUCGCCGGCUUGCUGGUAGCUUUCUUUAUGUGGUUAGAACAAUGGCCAUACGUCUCGACGUCUGCAAAUUCUGCCGUCAUCAGUGACACAAAUUCAGUGCCAGGUUGAACAAAAAAUAUUAUGCAUGGUCAUCACCGGCGUACCACGCACAUAAUUAUACUAACUAAUAAUACGGAUAAAUAAUUAUUCUCUGGAUGAGAGGUUUGCUGAAUAAUCAUAGAUACCACGGAGUCAAGCUGUACGAGCGCCACUAUAGCCUUAUCAUGCUUGAUCCAAUGUUUAUCUGAGGCAUCAUGUAUCCGUAGCAAGUAGCAACAUUGAGUGCUCGCACAGGAGCCAAGUUGACAUUCCUGAGGCGACAGAUGAUACCAAACGAAAUUUCUUCAGCAACUUCCUGUUUGCGACUUAUUCGAGUCGUGCUCUGUUUUUGGGGAUUCGGAAGAUGCAUUAGUGCAUGGGUCCUAUGUUCAUUUUUUUUUACCAUAACUGAUGUUAGUACUUUUUUUUCGUAAUAAUGCAUUUCAAUAUACUUCCCUACUGGUAACAGAAUGUGGGCACAUGCAUGGCCACGUGUGUGGCAGAAGAGUUGUCCAACAUUAUUGGAACACUCAGUCGAAUGAAUCGAAAUUGGGAAAUUAAGUGACCAAACUGUCAAGUGGGCGCAGUUUCGUUCUUUUUCUUUUUUUAAAACACAAUACGGAUACGGGUACUUGUAUAUACACAUACCUAUAUGAAUGUACAUACGCACACCUACCACUGAAAUGGCACUUAUGAGUUGAGAAAUUUUAGGAUUGAUAAAGUGAUCCGUACAAAUGAGCACGUCACUUACUACUGAAAAAUAUUACUCAAGCAGUAAGCAAACAGGGUUCUCUGAAAACACAUCAAGCUUCUGUGCUCCAUACAAUCAAAAAAUUGUUUGAUGUGAGAAUUCAAAUUGCCUAACUUUACUAGUCGGCAAAUGACCCAUGUCCAAUUCUUGACAUUUUUUUAUUUAAAUGUAUGGGAAAAUUUCUACAGCACCAGGUUCAAUAGACAAAUAUAUACCAUCGACACAAUUACAUAAACCGUUCAGGUGGUUAGGUGCAGACUAACAGUAUGGCUAGAUCUUGCGUUUUGUGUAGUGAAAUAAAAUCAGCUGGGCGGAUGGGCCUCGUAUGUUUUUAGAAUGCAGUUAAUAGAUGGUCUUUUGUGAAGUUUUGAGAAUGCAUUCAUAUCGUAAAAUUUAAAUAAAAAUGUUAUAAUAAUGUUGAACUGGCUGCCUUUUGGUAGGUUCGAGAAACAAGAAAAUGGAAUAAUAUCUCCUAGAAGAGCAAUUAAUAACAUGCUAUGAUGGCUAAAGAUACUUGGAGCGGCAUGCUGGAUUAACAUAAGCAUGUAACAUAAAUUAUACAUUACGUUCCUUGUGAGGAUAUAGCAGAUUGGAGUAAAUUUUUUUUACCAGAGACAUUAUAAAUACCAAAUGAAAUUGAAAUAUUGAAAGGCAACUUAUAAUUGAGUGUAACACCCGCCUUUUUUUAUAGUGGCCUUUUGGGUAAUCAAGUGGAUUUCUAAAGAUACAGUUCGCACAAAGUCCAUAGGAUUUCUGAGAAUUUUUGUCUUGCUACUAUAAUACAACCUGAAGUGUUAACUUACUUAUCAUUGAGGACAUUGUAUCGUGGUCUCUCAUACCUAAUUUAUUCAGUAAUUUUUUUGGAAUAGUGUAUUGAUAAAUUUGUAAAAACUACAAUGAUGCAGGGGCACUUUUCAUGAUGAUUCUAUUAAGAUCAUUCUGUGCAACACUAUGAAAGAGUUUGCUGUAUAAAUAAUUGAAGUAAAGGCUUCAAAUACUUGAAUCGACCUAGCAUUGGUUGCUUUCCUAGUUUUAGAGGAAAUGAUGGUUUGGAAAAUAAAUACCUCACGAACAGCAUAAUUAUUCCCAAUUUUUGAGGACGUUACUCUUGUAUUUUCUAUUAAUUUGGUCUUAUCUUCUCUAUUUUUUUAUCUCAAUUAGUUCAGCAGCAUCUAUUUUCCCCACCGGAACAUGGUGUUGUACUGAACUCUGGUUCAUACAUGGACUCUACUAGUAGAGUAUUGGUCACGCGGGUGGCAGCAGCAGCACAUUCGCAAAGCAACGAAAAAGUUCUCUGAACGCCGCCAGCCGGUCACCGGUCACCGAUGGUGCAUGUGGCCCUCUUUGUGUGCUUGAUCCAUGCUGCCACUCCACUACCAGUCUACCGCACCCAGCCCAUAUAUAGCAACUCGUCAAUUUGGCUCCGGCAUCCAUUCUCUCCAACUCCAGCCGAGCAUUUCCUCCCUUGGGGGCAGGCUCACCCUCACCCAUGCACCGGAUGGGUGUCUUCUUCCUCUAAUACCCUCCCUCCCAGCGAAUCAUAUCGCCGUCCACCGUCCUUAUAUGAUCCGUCUCCCACGGUGAUGUUUACACGAGAGGAAUUCUAAUCCGCCCGUGAUCGUUGUCACCUAAACGCAAUAUUAUUCUCCGUCCAAGCGCCAGAACCAGAACCGAGACCCCCUUUUUAAGCCAGGGAGCUUCGGCUCCCGAGUUUCCCCAAACACUUCAACAGCUGCCCUCUUCAGCCAUGGAGACCUCGGCAGCCGUCGAAUCGUCGGCCGCCGUGGCCGCAUUCGAGGUAUCCAAGCGUCCGGACACGGGCAAGCUCGUGCUGAACAGCCCAAGCCCGCCGAGCCUGCGCGAGGAGCUCGUCGGCGUGGUCGGCAAGGCGUUCCGGCCACGGGCCUCCGGCGGUGCUGGCGGCCGGGCGCCGCCGUGCGCGUGGGCCCUCACGGCGCUGCAGUGCGUGUUCCCGGUGCUGCAGUGGGGAAGGAGCUACACCCUCAAGGACUUCAGGAGUGACGUCAUGGCCGGCCUCACUCUCGCCAGCCUUGGCAUCCCGCAGGUAGGUUCCGGUGGCUGCUCAUGUUACACACGCUUGCUCGUCAGUUCAGGCUUCAGUUUCAGCUGCCUCUUCAUAAUGCUCUUUGUUGUCUGCACACGAGUAUGCUUGGAUGCACUACAUCUUUAUUUGCGGUGACAACUGGCUGGUGUUUCUUGCACUAAACCUCGGACAGAAUCACGAGAUAAACAUCAGUAGUUACAUGGCAGCAACAACCAUAUAUAUGCUCCAAGGAUCAUAGCUUUUGUACAAUUCACGCUUGCUCAAUUCACAAGCUACUCUUUUUCGAAAAACAAUUCACAAGCUACCAUAUGUCACACAAUCACGAAGAUAAAACACUAGUAGUUACACACUUCAUAUGGCAGCAGCUUUCAUCAAAAACAAGGCAGCAGCCACCAUAUGCUCCAAAGAUCAUAGAUUUUGCCUUGAAAUUUUCAGAUGUGUAGAGUUGUUUUCUCGUCCUUAUCUGACAUGUGAUUCGUUCGGAUAUGAUAUUGUAGAGCAUUGGAUACGCCAAUCUUGCCAAACUGGACCCUCAGUACGGCCUUUGUAAGUAUCAGAAACCCUCUCCAUGACUGUGCACAACAAUUUAGCUAGCGCAAAAGCACACGCCAUGUUUCUAUCUCUCAUCCUUUUGUGUGUGUUUUCCUGAAAGACACGAGCGUUGUGCCACCUCUGAUCUACGCUGUCAUGGGGACGUCGAGGGAGAUCGCCAUCGGGCCCGUCGCCGUGGUCUCGCUGCUGCUGUCGUCAAUGAUCCAGAACGUCGUCGACCCGGCCGCCGACCCGGCGACCUACCGGUCGCUCGUCUUCACCGUGACUUUCCUCGCCGGGGUCUUCCAGGUCUCCUUCGGUCUGUUCAGGUCUGCUCAUAUUACCAAAACGUCUUUUACGCAGUUCACGUGCAAAUAUACUCUGCUGCCUUCUCCCAUGUUGGGGAGUGCCCUAUACAUGUGGUCUUUAAUUACCCAUGUCGGCUCCUCACGUCCCCAGGCUGGGAUUUCUCGUCGAUUUCCUCUCGCACGCUGCCAUCGUCGGGUUCAUGGCGGGUGCGGCCAUCGUGAUUGGGCUGCAGCAGCUGAAGGGCCUGCUUGGACUCAGCCAUUUCACCAACAGCACCGACAUCGUCUCGGUGAUCAAGGCUGUGUGCUCGGCGCUACAUGACCCCGUGAGUUGUCUCUCUCCCUGUCCCUGUCGCCAAGGAAAGCACUGGCUUUAUUGUGCAGGAGCAUGUGCUCUUCCUCUCCCCACCCCACAAGGCCACAACAGACACACCGAUUAGUCACGGUCAUUACUUGGAAUGAUAUUCCACUUCACAAACUGUUUUGGAUAAAGAGCAUAACAUUGUGAAUAAUAUUCCACUUGCCUGCACAUGCUCCACUGUUUAGUGUUGGAGCCCACUGCUCCGACAACGAUAGCACGGGCCUUCAAGUCAACGCCUCCACCUGGUGCUUGGCUUUACUCAAUGUCCGCUUCUCAUGUGGCUCCUUUUGUCUGUGUUAUCCAAAUGCAGUGGCACCCAGGCAACUUCUUAAUCGGAUGCUCGUUCCUUAUAUUCAUCCUCACCACACGGUUCAUCGUAAGAUGACUCUUCAACCAUUGAUCUUUUUGACUGGCCGAUAAAUUGGACGGUAACUUACUAACCAACACAACAACAUGAAUUGUGCAAUGGAACCACAGGGGAGGAAGUACAAGAAGUUAUUCUGGCUGUCUGCGAUCUCGCCUUUGAUCUCAGUCAUUCUGUCCACUGCUGCGGUCUAUGCAACAAGAGCUGACAAGCAUGGCGUGAAGAUCAUUCAGAAGGUGCAUGCAGGCAUCAACCCUAGCUCAGCCAAGCAGAUACAUCUGAAUGGGCCACAUACUUCUGAAUGUGCCAAGAUUGCCAUCAUCUGUGCAGUCAUCGCACUUACGGUAAUUGACAUAUAUAGUAAGCAGUUCAUCUUGUGUUCAAUGGUGAAAUACGUAUGCAGUAUGCCUGAAAACAGAAGUAUGCAUUGCCUUUCUCAGGAAGCUAUUGCUGUUGGACGGUCAUUCGCUUCGGUAAGGGGGUACAAACUUGAUGGAAACAAGGAAAUGCUCGCCAUGGGAUUUUCAAACGUUGCUGGAUCUCUGUCCUCAUGCUAUGUUGCAACAGGUGAUCAUUAUUUUUGGUGCCUGCUGCAAUCUUUUUAAAAGAAGCAAAAUAUGUUGGUCAUUACGUCUGACAAAUGUUCUGCAGGUUCAUUCUCCCGAACAGCUGUGAACUUCAGCGCAGGCGCCAGGUCAACAAUGUCAAACAUCAUCAUGUCCAUCACCGUGUUUAUUACCUUAGAGUUGUUUAUGAAGUUCCUAUACUACACGCCCAUGGCGGUGCUCGCCUCCAUCAUUCUAUCAGCUCUUCCCGGACUGAUUGACAUCAAAGAAGCUUGCAACAUAUGGAAAGUUGAUAAGAUGGAUUUCGUCACAUGCCUUGGUGCAUUCGUUGGUGUUCUAUUUGGCUCGGUGGAGAUUGGCCUUGCUGUUGCAGUAAGAUGCUUGAGAUACCUCCAUUUGAAUCACAUUUUAGCAUUAUGUUUCAGCUUUUCUGACUUGCGGGGGACUGAUUAUAUUGCUGCAGAUUGCUAUUUCCUUCGCAAAGAUCAUCAUACAGUCGCUCCGACCUCAAGUAGAGGUUCUUGGCAGGCUACAAGGGACAAAUAUCUUCUGCAGUAUCAGGCAAUACCCUGUAGCUUGCCGAACUCCGACUGUACUGACGAUACGCAUCGACACAUCCUUCAUGUGUUUCAUCAAUGCCACUUUCAUCAAAGAAAGGUACUAGCAAUCUCAAAAUAUAAAUCUGAUAUAUCCAGUAGGGGAUCCCCCCCCCCCCCCUCUUGUUUCAUAAAAAAAAUAUAAUCUGGAUUUAUGAAAAUUCAGUAUAGAUUUGAAAUAAAUGUUGUUCAUUCAGGAUCAUAGAGUGGGUACGGGAAGAAGUGGAGGCAUCAGAUGGGAAGGCAAGAGAGAGGAUACAAGCAGUUGUCCUUGAUAUGUCAAGUAAGUGCUUAAAGCCUUGUGCAAUAUUUAUAGAAGGAAAUGCUUUGUUUUAUUAGUUAAUUGCUAGCUGUGAACUAAUGUAGCUGUCUUAUCUAAGCAUCGGCCUCCUAUCAAUUCUUAGGCAAACUCCGCCACUGUACUAUGGCAAACUGAUAUAACCAUGUUUUUUUUUUUUUGCAGGUGUGGUAAACAUCGACACUUCAGGACUCACAGCACUAGAAGAAUUACACAAGGAGUUGGUUUCUCUUGGCAUACAGGUGAAGUACUUAACUGCUUAGCAUACUUUUAAGUUUGGGGGCAAAAUAAGACUUAUAGUGCCAACUUGCCAGGUAAAAUGUUCUCAUGAUAUUUCUGAAACAAACUAUCUGCAGAUGGCUAUAUCCAGUCCAGGAUGGAAUGCAGUACAGAAGAUGAAAGUGUCGCGGGUCGUGGACAGAAUAGGAGAAGAUUGGAUCUUCCUGACAGUAGGUGAAGCAGUGGAGGCCUGUCUAACUGAACAAAAGGGCACGGCUCUCGAAUGUUGAGCGCGUGGUAAUCAGUAGAAAUAAUCCCAUAAGUGAUGCAGCUUUGCAUCCUAUGAAGGUGUUACUGCAAUGUUUGCGCACGAUGAGCAGGCAACUACCUAUAACUGAUUGGCUGUAGUGAGGAGUGGCUGUGGGGAACAAAAUCCUGCCGUGCUACAAAGGUUCAUGUUGCCAUGUUGGGCGUUCUAGUCAUGAACUCAUGCUACUUAACCAAGUGUGUCUCUGAUCCCUAAAAAAUAGUUCCGCACCUCCUAAAAAGAGCUACCGGAAAUUAAGAACAAGAAGCAACCACAAGCAUACAGCUGCGCCUCUAUAAGUCUGUAUAAAAAAACCUAAGGGGGAGAGAAGAAGAGCGAGGAGGAGCAGAGCGUACAGGCAAGGCGGUGUCGCCGCUGUGUCCGUCCGUCAGGUCGGACUCGGCGUAGGGUUCGGAGCUUCGGGAAGGAAGGGGAAGCCCUUCGUCUCUGCGAUGACGACGGCGUCGUGCCCCCGCCC